This 444-nucleotide ribosomal RNA is filed under the name uncultured bacterium. RNAcentral describes it as "SSU rRNA". It matches the Rfam family "Bacterial small subunit ribosomal RNA", at positions 26 to 518 of the family's 1533-position model. The record is from RNAcentral.
AGAACGAACGCUGGCGGCAGGCCUAACACAUGCAAGUCGAACGCUCUAGCAAUAGAGAGUGGCGCACGGGUGCGUAACGCGUGGGAAUCUACCCUUGACUGCGGAACAACAUCGGGAAACUGAUGCUAAUACCGCAUAAUGUCUUCGGACCAAAGAUUUAUCGGUCAAGGAUGAGCCCGCGUUGGAUUAGCUAGUUGGUGAGGUAAUGGCUCACCAAGGCUCCGAUCCAUAGCUGGUCUGAGAGGAUGAUCAGCCACACUGGGACUGAGACACGGCCCAGACUCCUACGGGAGGCAGCAGUGAGGAAUAUUGGACAAUGGGGGCAACCCUGAUCCAGCCAUGCCGCGUGAGUGAUGAAGGCCUUGGGUUGUAAACUCUUUUAGAUGUGUACGAUGAUGACGGUAACAUCAGAAAAGCUCCGGCUAACUUCGUGCCAGCAGCCGC